GGCGGGGCCGCGGGCGGGCGGGCUGGCGGACUGCGCCCUCUCCCCUUCCCCUCACACACGUCCCUCGAGCCCGGCCUGCGCCCGUCCCCGGGGUGCCCCAGGCCCCUCUCUCCCGGCCGCCUGUAUUCCCCUGGCUGCAUCUCGGUCACGGCCACCCCAGAUCCCCGGCCUCCGCCGCCCCGGACGCAGGUGAACCGGAAGCGCGCGCCGGCGCCCGGGCCGGAGGCGGCGCGGGGGGCUGGGGUGGCCGGGACUGAGAUGCCGCCGGGGACUGAGAUGCAACUGAGGGGCCCAGGUGGCCCGGGAACCGGCCAGGUAUUCAGGGACUGAGAUACGGUCGGGGGCCGAGAUGGCUAGGGGACAGCGGUGUCCAGGGACCGAGAGGCGGCCGGGGACCUCGGGUGCCCAGGGGCCGAGAGGCGGCUGGACACCUCAGAUGGCCAGAGCACCAAAGUGUCCAGAGACUGAGGCGGGUGGGGACCGAGGUGGCCGGGAGCCCAGGUGGCGGAAGGGGAUCCAGCUGGAGGGGGCCGAGACGCCGCGGUGGGCCAGGUGGGUCAAGGUACGUCCCGGGCCCGGGUGCGUCCAGCCCGGGUUGGCCCGAGUGGAUUUCUCCACCCUGAGCGCCUCCCCUCCCGGGCUCCGGCCACCUUUUUCCACGCCUUAAAAGAAUGCCCCCUCUUCGGAGAAGCAAUGCAUUUCCUUCAAGGAAACUCAGUGCUUCCUUUCCUCCUGAGUUGUUUUCCAGGGCCGCACAAUAUCUUAUUAUCUGCUUGGCGAAAAGUUUCACGUAUGUAGCCAGACUUGUUUGCCCGAGCCAUUGGCCCACAUAUAAACAGGUUCACACCCCCUUAUUAAAUGCCGGCGCCUGACAGACAGAAACUUCCUAGGGUUCCCUUCCUGCACUUCCCACGCUCAGGCAUCUCUUCCUGAGGGUGGCCUAUCCCGGGAAGGUUAUUUUAACAAUGAAACAAUGACAGGGGGUGUGUAUUUGUCCGUGUGUUCCUGCUGAGACCACACUGAUGAGGGCUGAGACCACACUGAUGAGGGCGUUGCUGUUUCUGGUUUUCUGUUCCUUUUUAUUUUACCAACACUGAGGUGGUGUUCUGCCUGGGUGGGGGUGGGGGGAACUUACUUGUUUAUUUGCCAAAGUAAGUCAACCAGGACUGACACAACAGAAAGUUUUUCUUUAGAGAUAAGCCGUGGACUUCCCUGGCGGUCCAGUGGUUAAGACUGUGCCCUGCAUGCUGGGGGCAGGGGUUCCAUCCCUAGUUGGAGGACUAAGAUCCUCCAAGGGUAGGCCAGAAAACGAAAGGAGCUAGAAGGAUGGAACUUACCCCUGUCUGAAGCCAGGUGGUGACAUUUGUGUCUGCCAUUAUUAGCAAGGUUCUCCCUGUAGGAGCAACAACUUCUGAGGUGUCUUUCAAAUCAAGUUAGUACAUGCAACCUACAACAACUUUCGCUUUGAAGUAAGAGAAAAUGCAGAGGAAACAGCUAACCUUUGUGCUUGAGAUUAACAAGGAAAAUGAUAAUAAAACCUUGGCUCUAGGAAAGCCUAGCCACAAAUUAUUAAUUUAUCCUUGUGAUCAUCAUCAUCCGGCCCCUGGUAUAUUUUCAGCCCAGAUAGCCCAUCAUAAAAACAAACGUGGCAUUUAAUUUAAAGUCAUUAAUGCAUAAUUAACUGUGCCAGGAAUUUACAGAAGGAUGGGGAGAAAAAUUUAAUUGGCAGAGAGAAUCUGGAUGUUGUCAGAUGUUAUUCAGUCUCGGAUUUUUAGUUUCUUUCACGCUUUUGAGAAGGUUUAGAGAGGCCGGAUUGCUACAUAGAAGAGAUGAAAUUAAAGGGCUGAGUUCAUUGAUCUUACUCUUAAAUUGUGAUAAAUCAAGGGCAAGCUUCCCGAAUGUCAAAGAGAGUUCCCGAUACAGCACCGCAUAUUUUGAUGGUUGGUUUGGUAAACAAGAGGGUGUUUUGUUCUUGCUGCUUGGUUUUUUCUCAGAGGCUGAGAGUGUUACUUACAAUGAAUAAUUCUUUCUAAUAGGUGAAUCUCAUAGGCUUUACCCAUUCCAGGGCUCUUUUUUUUUUUUUUCUGGAAAGAUGGGAGUUCAGGUUCAGUGUCUAGAUUUGUCUUCAGAAUGACUUAUUGAGAGAUGCAGGAAUAAGGUUUUGUGCAUGGUUAAUAUUUAAUUAGCUCGCUCCCAGAAAUAUCUAGUGAGCUGCCAGCCGGGCCCCAUUGGAGGAAAGGACAUGGAGAGCCGAAGCUGCUGCUUACAGGUCUCCUUCUGAACAGAAAAUAGUGCAUCCAGCCCUCAAACACUCCUUGCCUUCGCAAUGCACUGUCCGGGUCUCCUCGUUGACCACAGCACCCUGUAUAUCAGAGGGGCAUUUUGGCUUCCUUAGAACAUGUGUCCCCACUGUCCUGCCAGCCUCGCUAUUCCUCCUGGCCUUAUGGGUCAAGAAGAGGAAAAAUGUGACUGACCACACCCUGUUUUGCAAAAGGGUUUCUAACCCUGCCCGGGUCAGGAAAGUGGAGGGAGGGCAGUCUUGCAUCCUUCACGUUGCGGGUACUCGUGGUUGUUAUGUGAUGUCAGUGCGUGAGUGCCUGUGUAUUAAUCCCCAGGGCGCUGUGCAGAAAGCUGGUCUAUUCUUCCCCAAGACUUUAUGGUCCCUUUGGUGAUAAAGCCCCUUUUUAAAAUGGAAGGGACAAAACUGCACUGGCGUUUUGUUGUUGUAGUGUUCUGAGUACAGAACACUGGGAUACAGCGUACCCGUGUUCUGAACAUGAAAAUCACCUGUCUUGUUUCGAAGGUGGUGCGAUAUCACCGAAAGUUGGUGCACCUGUGUCCCUGGGCAGGGUGCUGAACUCCUGUUCCCUGUAAAAAUAGAGAAAAUUCCAUCUACUUCCUUGGGCUGUUUCAAGGUCUAGAAACGAUGGGGUGGGCUAAAGAGGCCCCCCGCCCCACACCAAAGAUGUCCAUGUCCUAAUUCCUGGAACCCGUGAAUAUCUUAGCAGUCCUGGGUAAGAAAAAUGCUAAUCAGAGGACCUUAAAAAUAGGGGGCAUGGCCUGGGUUAGCCAGGUGGUCCCAGUGUAAUUACAGUACCUUUAAAUGUGGAAGAGGUCACGAGGAGGUCAGGGUGAUGUGCGGUGAGGGGGACGCCGUGGGACAUUGCUGGCUUUAAAGCUGAAGGAAUGUGAGUGUCCUCUAGAAGCUGAAAAAGGCCAAGAAAUGGAUUUUUUCACAAAACUUCUAGAAAGAAACGCAGCCCUGCAGGCAUCUUGAUUUCAGCCCCUAAGAUCCAUUUUGGACUUCUGACCUCCAGAACUGCACUGGGGGGCUGGUGGAGGACGCCGUGCUGUGUGGACAGGACCGGGUGUCGUAGUCAGAGCCGCCCUGGACUGGAAGCCCGGGAGCAGAGCCAUGGCGGAGUCGGCCGGCACAGAUUCCUGGGCUGAGGAGAGGAACCGCGGUGUUCCCCACCCCCCGAUUCUGCGGCACAUGCAGGACAGUCUAGGGAGGCGAUGGGCACCCCGGGGCCUGCUGUCCUGUCCUGGGACGGGGCUUGGCUGCCGCGCCUGGCAGGAACAGCAGGCCUGUGAGCGUCCACAGACUCCCUCUGUGUGAGCACUGUGCCUCCUUGGGAGACUUCCCAGCCCACACAUCUGCCGCUGCACACAACGGGGCCUGUUCCCUCCGGGAGGGACCCUGUUCCCGCAGCCGGUGGCGCAGGGAGCGGGCGGCACCAGGAGGCGGGGCUUAUGGGGGGACAGGAGGGGCCUGGUGCCCAGACUGUGCCGCGGGCCUGAGUCACCCACAUCUCGCUGGGUCCCCAGAGCCUCCCUCGCUGCCUCUGGAAACCGUCCAUGUGCACCCCAGGGCACUGACAUGGACUUGGGGGAAGGGGGUGGGGGGUGAGUAAGGACACUGUCAGGGAUGCUGAGUGCGUGGAGAAGCGUAAAUCAGGGGAGACUGAAACAGUGGGAGGAAGUGGACUCCCCAGAGGAAAGGCCGGGUGCGCUUCCUGGGGGUCCAGGCCCAGCCAUGAGAGGGUGCUUACAUCUGGACUGACGCUGCGGGAGGGCGGGGAGGUGGGCCCAGCUCCCGGCUCCCCUGCUGGGCCCCAGCCGGCCCACUUGGGCAGGGUGGGUCGCUGCUGCAGGCUGGGGGAAGGGGGGCAGGGGGCUGGCCUCCAGGAGGAAGGGGGUCUGGGGUCGGCCCCAGGACAGCGGGAGGGCAGGGCGCCUGCUGAGCCUGACUGCAGGUGACAUUUUGGUGUCCCCCAGCCUUCGGGGCAGCCUGCUUUGCACGUGUGGCCCUCCUCUGCGCUGGCCCAUGGUCUUGCAGGCCAGGUGGCAGUCGUCAGAGCCAGCUCAAGUGUUAGGGUAGCUGGGGGAUGGGGUUACACACCCCAGAGACGGGCCCACUCCCACCUUACGGGCUGGUGUGCCCGCCCCGCCAGCUCUCUGCCUGUGCUGGAAGGAGGGGCCUGGGAGCUGGACCACAGGAUCGUUAAGGACACAGCCAGACCUGUCUGUGCCCUUAUUAGCUGUACAGAUACCCAAGCUCUUGGAGCCUCAGUUUCCUCAUCAGGAAAGUGGGCUCAUGUCCAUUGGGAGCGUGUUGCCUGGACCUGGCGCAGGGGAGUGCCCAGGCGUUGCUGGUUGUUGAUCUCCGUCCUCAGCCUCUGUGGGCUGAGUUCUCUGCCUGAUGGGGCGUGAUGUUGGCCAGCAGGCAGCAGUACACCCGGGCCGGCUCCUCUCACAGUUGAUGCCUGUGGAACGCGGGCAGGCGCCUGGGCCUCAGGGAGGCUGAGCUGGCAGAGGACCAGCAAACACAGAACAGAUGGCUAGGGAGCCUUCCGUGUCUGGCUCGCCAAGGCUUCUCACGUAAGGGGAGCCAGAACCAGCCUGUGUCCUCUCAGGACCCUGGUCCACAGUGAGGCCAGAGCCGCACCUCCAGCCUGGCCCUUGAUGCCGGGGGAGCCGCCCCCCAGGGCCCAGCGUGCUGUGUGCCGCUGCCCAGCUCUCCCCGAGCCCCCAAGAACAGCCACAAUGGGUGCUGUGUGUGAAAGGAGGUCAGCCGGCCUGGCUGGGGUGGGCGUGAGGGGCCCAGCCGGCCCAGCCCCAGCCACUCCCAGGUCCGGGAGCCGGAGCAGAAAGCACGGCCAUGGCUCUUGGGGUUGCUCUCCUAGCAGAGCAGGCCUCCAGUCGGUCACAACAGGACCACAGAUGAGUGAGAUCGCCUCGUGCGUGGCAGGGCCAGGUCCUGUUGCCCCCGCUCCAGAGACGGAGAGCAGAGUGGCCUCCGGGUUAGAAAGAAAGGAAACGCCCACUGCCCCUAGGGGUUCUCUCUCCAUCCUGUCUUGCUCCCAUCACAGCUGGGCCCGCUCCAGACAAGUCGGGGCAGGACCGGGCUGCAGGGGGAGCAGGGACCCCCUUGCCUAGCCUUGAGAGCUCCCUGGACGGCUGAGGCCACGUGGGGUCUGGGGCCGCACUUGUAGGGGACUUGGGAGAAUCGCUGAGCUGGAGAGGUGUCUACACUGGGCAGGGACCCCAUCCAACCCUCCCACCAACCAGCAGCUCUUCUCACUCGAUCCACAAGCUCAGGGCUAGGUGGGUGGACAGAGGCUUACAAGACCUGUCACCACGUGGAGAAUUAAAACAUAUCCAUGAGCAAGCCCAGGGCCAGUGGUGGUUCCUGGGUGAGUGGGGUGGGGGUGACAGUCAGUGCCCCGAGCCUUUGGUGAGGGAACAGUCAUAUCCAGGAAGCCUUCUCGGAAGAGGAGGCGUUGUGCGCAGGGGGUCAAGACUCCAGCAGGUGGAGGAGGGAGGGGACCUGAGGCUGCCACCUUGCUCGGAGCCUGAGUGGGGGCAGCAUGUGUGUAGGUGGGUCCUCCCCUUCCUGCCACCCCUGGUGGGUUGCAGUCACUGUUUGGGUCAGUGGGGCUGGGAGCUGAGUCAGGACUCACCCACCCAGGAUGCACACAGACAGGCUGUGGGACCUGGUGUAUCCUGGUUUUCCACGUAGUGGCUGUGGGGGCCUCAUCUCUCUAGGCCAGGCCCCGGGGUAAAGUGGGGGUGACAUGCAUCUCCUGGUGGAGUCCUGGAAGGCUCAGGCCACAGCAGUCUCUCCAAGAGGCGGGACCCAUGGAAGCUGUCAGGAGGGGACUGGCCUUGCCCCCAGGGUCCCGGGGGGCCACACCUUCUGGGGAGAAGGAACUGCCUGCAGUUUUCAGAUCAGAGUUGUUCUCCUGCAGCACAAGCUGGCCCUUGGCCUUAUUUCCCAGACCCCAGAUGCUCUCAGUGGCGGCAGCAUCGAGCGUUAGUUGUAGUUUGAGCUGCACGUAUCAAGUGAAAGAAAAGUCCCGAGUGGUCUGGUUUGCUUAGGUUAGAGAAUUUCUUUUUUUAAAAUCAUAUUUAUUUAAUUUUUGACUGUGUUGGGUCUUAGUUGUGGUGGGCAGGAUCUCGCCUUGUGGCUCUCAGGCUCAGGAGUUGCAUUGGGCAGGCUUAGUUGCCCCGUGGCGUGGGGACUCUUGGUUCCCAGCCAGGGGUCAAACCUGCGUCCCCGGCAUUGGAAGGUGGAUUCUUCACCACUGGACCACCAGGGAAGUCCCUCAGAGAAUUUCCGUUCUCCCCUCAUCUCUGCCCUCGCCUCUAACCAGCGGGAAGGAGCCAUCCUGUCUUUGUGUCCCCUCCGUUGGCUGCUCUCUCCCAGGAAGGCUGCCGGGUGGGUCUCUGACCUCUGUCUCCUCUGUCCCCUCCCAG
Molecule: long non-coding RNA, 6759 nt
Organism: Bubalus bubalis (water buffalo)
Lineage: Eukaryota; Metazoa; Chordata; Mammalia; Artiodactyla; Bovidae
Exons: 2
Source: RefSeq, a predicted model, not a curated record